Molecule: ribosomal RNA, 465 nt
Filed under: uncultured Klebsiella sp.
Lineage: Bacteria; Pseudomonadati; Pseudomonadota; Gammaproteobacteria; Enterobacterales; Enterobacteriaceae
Description: bacterial SSU rRNA
Rfam family: Bacterial small subunit ribosomal RNA
Source: RNAcentral
CCUACGGGUGGCAGCAGUGGGGAAUAUUGCACAAUGGGCGCAAGCCUGAUGCAGCCAUGCCGCGUGUGUGAAGAAGGCCUUCGGGUUGUAAAGCACUCUCAGCGGGGAGGAAGGCGGUGAGGUUAAUAACCUCAUCGAUUGACGUUACCCGCAGAAGAAGCACCGGCUAACUCCGUGCCAGCAGCCGCGGUAAUACGGAGGGUGCACGCGUUAAUCGGAAUUACUGGGCGUAAAGCGCACGCAGGCGGUCUGUCAAGUCGGAUGUGAAAUCCCCGGGCUCAACCUGGGAACUGCAUUCGAAACUGGCAGGCUAGAGUCUUGUAGAGGGGGGUAGAAUUCCAGGUGUAGCGGUGAAAUGCGUAGAGAUCUGGAGGAAUACCGGUGGCGAAGGCGGCCCCCUGGACAAAGACUGACGCUCAGGUGCGAAAGCGUGGGGAGCAAACAGGAUUAGAUACCCCUGUAGUC